RNAcentral lists this unclassified non-coding RNA (380 nucleotides) under uncultured Gammaproteobacteria bacterium. Its description in RNAcentral is "contains 16S-23S intergenic spacer region". Lineage: Bacteria; Pseudomonadati; Pseudomonadota; Gammaproteobacteria. The record is from RNAcentral.
UCCGAGUUGACCCCGGCAGUCUCCUAUGAGUCCCCACCAUGACGUGCUGGCAACAUAGAACGAGGGUUGCGCUCGUUGCGGGACUUAACCCAACAUCUCACGACACGAGCUGACGACAGCCAUGCAGCACCUGUGUUCCGAUUCCCUUUCGGGCACAGCUGGAUCUCUCCAGCCUCUCGGACAUGUCAAGGGUAGGUAAGGUUUUUCGCGUUGCAUCGAAUUAAUCCACAUAAUCCACCGCUUGUGCGGGUCCCCGUCAAUUCCUUUGAGUUUUAACCUUGCGGCCGUACUCCCCAGGCGGUCGACUUCACGCGUUAGCUUCGUUACUGAGAGUGUCAAACCCCCAACGUCUAGCAUCCAUCGUUUACAGCGUGGACUAC